Molecule: ribosomal RNA, 253 nt
Filed under: uncultured bacterium
Lineage: Bacteria
Description: partial 16S ribosomal RNA
Rfam family: Bacterial small subunit ribosomal RNA
Source: RNAcentral
UACAGAGGUCUCAAGCGUUGUUCGGAUUCAUUGGGCGUAAAGGGUGCGUAGGCGGCGCGGUAAGUCGGGUGUGAAAUCUUGGAGCUUAACUCCGAAACUGCAUUCGAUACUGCCGUGCUUGAGGACUGGAGAGGAGACUGGAAUUUACGGUGUAGCGGUGAAAUGCGUAGAUAUCGUGAGGAACACCAGAGGCGAAGGCGGCUACCUGGACAAUUGCUGACGCUCAGGCACGAAAGCGUGGGGAGCAAAAGGG